GACGAACGCUGGCGGCGUGCUUAACACAUGCAAGUCGGACGGAAAGGCCCUGCUUUUGUGGGGUGCUCGAGUGGCGAACGGGUGAGUAACACGUGAGUAACCUGCCCUUGACUUUGGGAUAACUUCAGGAAACUGGGGCUAAUACCGGAUAGGAGCUCCUGCUGCAUGGUGGGGGUUGGAAAGUUUCGGCGGUUGGGGAUGGACUCGCGGCUUAUCAGCUUGUUGGUGGGGUAGUGGCUUACCAAGGCUUUGACGGGUAGCCGGCCUGAGAGGGUGACCGGCCACAUUGGGACUGAGAUACGGCCCAGACUCCUACGGGAGGCAGCAGUGGGGAAUAUUGCACAAUGGGCGGAAGCCUGAUGCAGCAACGCCGCGUGCGGGAUGACGGCCUUCGGGUUGUAAACCGCUUUCGCCUGUGACGAAGCGUGAGUGACGGUAAUGGGUAAAGAAGCACCGGCUGACUACGUGCCAGCAGCCGCGGUGAUACGUAGGGUGCGAGCGUUGUCCGGAUUUAUUGGGCGUAAAGGGCUCGUAGGUGGUUGAUCGCGUCGGAAGUGUAAUCUUGGGGCUUAACCCUGAGCGUGCCUUCGAUACGGGUUGACUUGAGGAAGGUAGGGGAGAAUGGAAUUCCUGGUGGAGCGGUGGAAUGCGCAGAUAUCAGGAGGAACACCAGUGGCGAAGGCGGUUCUCUGGGCCUUUCCUGACGCUGAGGAGCGAAAGCGUGGGGAGCGAACAGGCUUAGAUACCCUGGUAGUCCACGCUGUAAACGGUGGGUACUAGGUGUGGGGUCCAUUCCACGGGUUCCGUGCCGUAGCUAACGCUUUAAGUACCCCGCCUGGGGAGUACGGCCGCAAGGCUAAAACUCAAAGGAAUUGACGGGGCCCCGCACAAGCGGCGGAGCAUGCGGAUUAAUUCGAUGCAACGCGUAGAACCUUACCUGGGUUUGACAUGGAUCGGGAGUGCUCAGAGAUGGGUGUGCCUCUUUUGGGGUCGGUUCACAGGUGGUGCAUGGCUGUCGUCAGCUCGUGUCGUGAGAUGUUGGGUUAAGUCCCGCAACGAGCGCAACCCUUGUUCACUGUUGCCAGCACGUUAUGGUGGGGACUCAGUGGAGACCGCCGGGGUCAACUCGGAGGAAGGUGGGGAUGACGUCAAGUCAUCAUGCCCCUUAUGUCCAGGGCUUCACGCAUGCUACAAUGGCUGGUACAGAGAGUGGCGAGCCUGUGAGGGUGAGCGAAUCUCGGAAAGCCGGUCUCAGUUCGGAUUGGGGUCUGCAACUCGACCUCAUGAAGUCGGAGUCGCUAGUAAUCGCAGAUCAGCAACGCUGCGGUGAAUACGUUCCCGGGGCU
RNAcentral lists this ribosomal RNA (1346 nucleotides) under uncultured bacterium. RNAcentral describes it as "partial 16S ribosomal RNA". It matches the Rfam family "Bacterial small subunit ribosomal RNA", at positions 28 to 1381 of the family's 1533-position model. The record is from RNAcentral.